Molecule: long non-coding RNA, 881 nt
Organism: Lagenorhynchus albirostris (white-beaked dolphin)
Lineage: Eukaryota; Metazoa; Chordata; Mammalia; Artiodactyla; Delphinidae
Exons: 6
Source: RefSeq, a predicted model, not a curated record
CCCAAGGCUACUUCCGCGGCCUCUGGGCUGUGAACAGAUAAGGACGCAAGUUUCCCCGACCAGGCCACUAAGUAUUGAACACCUACUUUGAGUAAUGCUCUCUCUCAGUUAAGCAGUGUGAGUGAUACCUGGAUUAAGGGAAAAAGUGAGCAGAGCCCUGAAGGAUGUCCAGAAUAACCACACUCACAAAUACACUCUCCUGGAGAAGGACCAGCAUUUGCAAAGACACCUGAAGAGUGCAGGCGGUUCUUAGGGGAAGAUGGAUGAUCCUCUGCUGGAGUGAAGGAUAUGGAGGAAAGGUUGUGUUCUCUGGAAGCAUCUGGAGUCCAAGAUAUUUAUUAGGCAUCAACACCUGUGAAAAGAAGGGACAGAAGCAGAAUUGGGCCAAGAGAAGUCAAAUUGCAAAGUAGAACUGACAAGAUCUCAGCUCAUUGAACGGGGAGCUCUGACGUCAGACUGCCCAUUAGAGUUGUCUCAAAUCAGCUUCAGGCCUUUAUCCUCCAACACCAUUCUCCCCCUCUUGCUCAGUUACUGGAUGCAGUCUUCCGGAAAAGGCAUGAUUUCAGGUUCUGACCAUCCUGCAGUCCCGGAUCUCAGAUAUCAGUUUCCUGAGACCUUUUAAGAUGAGGGCAGGACCCUAUACCGCAAGUCUCAGAGUGGAUAUGAGAAUCUAUAGGUCCAGCAAGUGCUCUCAAAGGGUUGGAAUUGUGAUUAAGGAAUGAACUGUCCCUGCCCUCAUGGAGUUUAAAGUCUGGAGAGAAAUCAGACAUUGAGCAGGCAUUUAUGUACCAGGAAGACAACACCUCCGUAAAUACUGGAUGCUGUUGUUUAAUAAGAUUACUGUUGAACACCAGGUAAGAAUGAUUAGAAGUGGCCAAAAA